AAACAUAUAGGUUUGGUCCCAGCCUUCCUGUUAACUUUCAAUAGACUUACACAUGCAAGCAUCCACACCCCGGUGAGAAUGCUCUCUGAGUCAGUAAGACUAAGAGGAGCGGGUAGCAAGCACACAUCUGUAGCUCAUAACACCUUGCUUAACCACACCCCCACGGGAGACAGCAGUGACAAAAAUUAAGCCAUAAACGAAAGUUUGACUAAGUUAUAUUGACUAGGGUUGGUAAAUCUCGUGCCAGCCACCGCGGUCAUACGAUUAACCCGAGCUAACAGGAAUACGGCAUAAAACGUGUGAAAGCGCUACAUCAAAUAGAGUUAAAUUUUAAUUAAACUGUAAAAAGCCAUAAUUACAAUAAAAAUAAAUGACGAAAGUAACUCUAUAACAGCUGACACACUAUAGCUAAGACCCAAACUGGGAUUAGAUACCCCACUAUGCUUAGCCCUAAACACAAAUAAUUAUAAAAACAAAAUUAUUCGCCAGAGUACUACCGGCAACAGCCCGAAACUCAAAGGACUUGGCGGUGCUUUAUACCCUUCUAGAGGAGCCUGUUCUAUAAUCGAUAAACCCCGAUAAACCUCACCAAUCCUUGCUAAUACAGUCUAUAUACUGCCAUCUUCAGCAAACCCUGAAAAAGAAUAAAAGUAAGCACAACCAUAGUAAGCUCAAUAAUAACACAUAAAGACGUUAGGUCAAGGUGUAACCUAUGGAGUGGGAAGAAAUGGGCUACAUUUUCUACCCAAGAAAAUUUAAUACGAAAGCCAUUAUGAAAUUAAUAGCCAAAGGAGGAUUUAGCAGUAAACUAAGAAUAGAGUGCUUAGUUGAAUCAGGCCAUGAAGCACGCACACACCGCCCGUCACCCUCCUCAAGUAAAUAUGAUAUACUUAAACCUAUUUACAUAUAUCAACCACACGAGAGGAGACAAGUCGUAACAAGGUAAGCAUACUGGAAAGUGUGCUUGGAUAAACCAAGAU
This 980-nucleotide non-coding RNA is filed under the name Ovis aries (sheep). RNAcentral's name for it is "Bacterial small subunit ribosomal RNA". It matches the Rfam family "Bacterial small subunit ribosomal RNA". The record is from Rfam by way of RNAcentral. Lineage: Eukaryota; Metazoa; Chordata; Mammalia; Artiodactyla; Bovidae.